Molecule: long non-coding RNA, 1363 nt
Organism: Rosa rugosa (rugosa rose)
Lineage: Eukaryota; Viridiplantae; Streptophyta; Magnoliopsida; Rosales; Rosaceae
Exons: 5
Source: RefSeq, a predicted model, not a curated record
UAGGGACACACAGAACAUUCCUUCUAUAGAUCGCCCACAGGUUUUCUUGUCAAAACCGCCUUCUCUCGAACCUUCCGAUCCUGUUUAAAUAGAGCCACGGAGAACAACUUUUACAGAACAAACCAAGAAGAUUGAUGGUUACCUGUGAGAGAGUGAAUACCUGGUUACCAGCAGAAUCCCAGGGUGAAGAGGACGACGAAGACCAAGAUCUGGGAGGAGGGCUCUCAAGCAAUCUUCAUCGAAUCCAUGAUCUACCAGAAGAGGAAACCAAGAGCAUGACAAGCUCAAAGAGAGUCCUGGUGGGUGAUGGGAAGCACCAGUAGUAGUAGGAGGAGGAGAUAUAAUCUGCACUCCUCACUGGUCAGAGGAACAGCCAACAAUAAACGGCGAGCCUCCUCAGCCACUUUGAUCUUCAGCUCUUCCAGAGUUCCAGUGAGUUCAACUACUGCAGUUGUAGCAUGUUGAGAUCUUCAGUAGGUAGUACCUGUCUGAUAUGUAAUGCCAAGUAUAUCUGGAAGAGUCUUGAGUGGUGGGAGGGGAAGCCGAAUCCCAGAUAAGAAUAGAGUACGUUGAGAGCAUAAACUCGAGCCGGUUGACAACAAAACUGGCCAACCGUGAGAGGAUCCAAAUUGCAUCUCUUGACUCUUCGGCCAUGAUAAAGUAAUCUGGGGUUCACAUCCAAAACCAAUUGACAAUGGAUGGAGUGGCCCAAACCCUUAUAAACCCAUAGGCAAGGUCCCAUUUUUCCCAUGUGGGAUGACAUAUAUUCUCAACACGCCCCCGCACGUGUGGCGAAUUUUCAAGCCAUACACGUGGACAACUUUGGGUGACGUGGAGCCCGUGUGGCCGUUAGACAUGCACACGUGGGUAACCCGCUCUGAUACCAUGAUAAAGUAAUCUGGGGUUCACAUCCAAAACCAAUUGGCAAUGGAUGGAGUGGCCCAAACCCUUAUAAACCCAUAGGCAAGGUCCCAUUUUUCCUAUGUGGGAUGACAUAUAUUCUCAACAGAUGUUCGAGUUGUAAAAGCUUCCUUCAAGACUGUAAAACCUAGACCCAUCAAUGGCCUCAUCAGAUCUCGGGGAAGAACGAGCCACACGUUGUUUCGGGUAGCCAAGUGAAGGAUGGUGACUUGGUAAUUUCAUUAACUGCAGCAGACCAAGAGGGACAAAUUAAUUAACUGCUUUAAAGCGCAUGAUGCUUUUGAGGGUGGAUGUUGAUAGCUAGGAUUAGUUGACAGAGUUCCUUUGGUAAUUCGGACCAUCUUGACAUGGGAAAAUUGUAUCAUUAAUUCCAGCUUUUAUCAUUUGUCAUCUACAAGAAGAUAACCUGGAGUCUGGUUAAUUUCAUUUGUCAUCUUCACUA